GACGAACGCUGGCGGCGUGCUUAACACAUGCAAGUCGAACGGAAAGGCCCUGCUUUUGUGGGGUGCUCGAGUGGCGAACGGGUGAGUAACACGUGAGUAACCUGCCCUUGACUUUGGGAUAACUUCAGGAAACUGGGGCUAAUACCGGAUAGGAGCUCCUGCUGCAUGGUGGGGGUUGGAAAGUUUCGGCGGUUGGGGAUGGACUCGCGGCUUAUCAGCUUGUUGGUGGGGUAGUGGCUUACCAAGGCUUUGACGGGUAGCCGGCCUGAGAGGGUGACCGGCCACAUUGCGACUGAGAUACGGCCCAGACUGCUACGGGAGGCAGCAGUGGGGAAUAUUGCACAAUGGGCGGAAGCCUGAUGCAGCAACGCCGCGUGCGGGAUGACGGCCUUCGGGUUGUAAACCGCUUUCGCCUGUGACGAAGCGUGAGUGACGGUAAUGGGUAAAGAAGCACCGGCUAACUACGUG
RNAcentral lists this ribosomal RNA (468 nucleotides) under uncultured bacterium. RNAcentral's name for it is "partial 16S ribosomal RNA". It matches the Rfam family "Bacterial small subunit ribosomal RNA", at positions 28 to 507 of the family's 1533-position model. The record is from RNAcentral.